GACGAACGCUGGCGGCGUGCUUAACACAUGCAAGUCGAACGGAAAGGCCCUUCGGGGUACUCGAGUGGCGAACGGGUGAGUAACACGUGGGUGAUCUGCCCUGCACUUUGGGAUAAGCCUGGGAAACUGGGUCUAAUACCGAAUAGGAUCAUCGGCUUCAUGGUCGGUGGUGGAAAGCUUUUGCGGUGUGGGAUGGGUCCGCGGCCUAUCAGCUUGUUGGUGGGGUAAUGGCCUACCAAGGCGACGACGGGUAGCCGGCUUGAGAGGGUGACCGGCCACACUGGGAAUGAGAUACGGCCCAGACUCCUACGGGAGGCAGCAGUGGGGAAUAUUGCACAAUGGGCGCAAGCCUGAUGCAGCGACGCCGCGUGAGGGAUGACGGCCUUCGGGUUGUAAACCUCUUUCAGCAGGGACGAAGCGCAAGUGACGGUACCUGUAGAAGAAGGACCGGCCAACUACGUGCCAGCCGCCGCAGUAA
Molecule: ribosomal RNA, 478 nt
Filed under: uncultured bacterium
Lineage: Bacteria
Description: partial 16S ribosomal RNA
Rfam family: Bacterial small subunit ribosomal RNA
Source: RNAcentral